UGAAAGCAAAAUCAUCAAGCGAAAACUGGAACCAUUUCUUUCUCCCCCAUUCUGUUCUCUCUCUCGCUCGGGUCCAGCGAGGGCGUCCAUCUCCCUUCGCCAGCCACAGAACACGGCAAUUUUUACUUCAUUAUGCUCUGCCUUCAUUUCUUUACCUUUUGCCCUCGUAAUGCAAAAUAUCACUUCCUCAUUUACGGAAAACGGUUGAAAUUACGUCUUUGUGAACAACUAUCGUUGUAAUCCUUUUGAUACCAAAACUGAAGUAUAAUCCUAAAUCAUGCUGAGUACAAGUCUAAGUUGCCAAUAGAUUCUUAUAUCUCAAUUGUAUUUGGUGUUCGGGGCAUUUGAGAAGGCUUCGGAGAAGAAGAAUGGGUAUGUGUUGCCGAGGUCGAAGAUGGUGAAUGCUGACCUUGGGAGGACUAUUAACUCUGAUGAGGUGUAGAGUGUCGUUAGGCCGAUCGAUUACUGAGGAGGAGGACGUUGAAGGAGAAAUCCUUUGAAGAACUUGGAUGCGAUGUUGAGGUUGAACCCAUGCGCGAAGACUGCGAGAAACGGCUUUGAUUGCAGGGGAGCGGAGGGUGAAGGCCAAGAAGGUGAAGUUGGACGAGAAGAGGAGUAAACUGCUGCCUGACUCCAUUUUAAAAGUUGUCAUCUGUAUGAGCUCAGUAGUUUAACGAAAAUAGUGUUAUCAUUAUAAUUACUACGAUGUAAGUUGUUAGUGAUACGUAUUUUAUUUCGUUGCCAAAUAAAUUCGACGAUUCGAUUGUUCGUUAGUUUA
Long non-coding RNA from Asparagus officinalis (garden asparagus), 778 nucleotides. RefSeq lists it as uncharacterized. The record is from RefSeq and is a predicted model, not a curated record. NCBI's taxonomy places the organism in Eukaryota, Viridiplantae, Streptophyta, Magnoliopsida, Asparagales, Asparagaceae. The transcript has 2 exons.